This 539-nucleotide long non-coding RNA is filed under the name Brachypodium distachyon (stiff brome). Its description in RNAcentral is "long non-coding RNA (BDIS_LNC004832)". Lineage: Eukaryota; Viridiplantae; Streptophyta; Magnoliopsida; Poales; Poaceae. The record is from RNAcentral.
GGCUUCAAAUUGACGCGCUUGGAUUUGGAGAUGGGGUCGUGUGCGCGCAGGAAUCGAGUGGAGGCUCGCGCGGACUCGGGACGUGUUCUGCGCGUGGAAACCGGAGGCAGUUGUGGAACAUGGAGGAAGGAGAUGACGGGCGGGGCCCACUGUCAGUGGCCGCGAGCGGCUCGCGCGCGGGCGGAGCCGGUCGGUCCGGUCCGGUUCGGUCGGGUCGGUCCGGUUCGGCCGGUUUUCUUUUGGUUUUUCUUUCUGUUUUUUCUUUUUUCUGUUUUCAAACCUCAAAAUUGAUCCGAAGCUCCAAAUCACUCCAAAUAAAUUGCAACAAAAUUUUUAAAAUCAUAUUUUCAUAUGAUCUAACUUUUGGAACAAGAAUUUCCUCAAAAUAAAAUAUUUAAAAAUACAUUUGCCUAUAAAAUGGCUUUUGGGGCCCUUAGGCUAUGAAAAUAAUUUCAAACGCAAAUUUAUGGGAUAGCUUUAUAUAUGCAUUAAAUCCCUUUUUAUACCAACACCCUCAUGGGUUGAAACACAAAAUGCUU